UACGGAGGGUGCAAGCGUUAAUCGGAAUUACUGGGCGUAAAGCGCGUGUAGGCUGUACGGCAAGUUGGAGGUGAAAUCCCACGGCUCAACCGUGGAACUGCCUUCAAAACUACCGAACUGGAGUGCGAGAGAGGAUAGCGGAAUUCCAGGUGUAGGAGUGAAAUCCGUAGAUAUCUGGAAGAACAUCAGUGGCGAAGGCGGCUAUCUGGCUCGUAACUGACGCUGAGAUGCGAAAGCGUGGGUAGCAAACAGG
RNAcentral lists this ribosomal RNA (253 nucleotides) under Mailhella massiliensis. RNAcentral describes it as "partial 16S ribosomal RNA". It matches the Rfam family "Bacterial small subunit ribosomal RNA", at positions 524 to 776 of the family's 1533-position model. Lineage: Bacteria; Pseudomonadati; Thermodesulfobacteriota; Desulfovibrionia; Desulfovibrionales; Desulfovibrionaceae. The record is from RNAcentral.